This 253-nucleotide ribosomal RNA is filed under the name uncultured bacterium. Its description in RNAcentral is "partial 16S ribosomal RNA". It matches the Rfam family "Bacterial small subunit ribosomal RNA", at positions 524 to 776 of the family's 1533-position model. The record is from RNAcentral.
UACGUAGGUGGCAAGCGUUGUCCGGAUUUACUGGGCGUAAAGGGCGCGUAGGCGGGAUGGCAAGUCGGUCGUGAAAUCCCUCGGCUCAACUGAGGAUCGUCGAUCGAUACUGCCGUUCUUGAGGAUUGCAGAGGAGACUGGAAUUCCCGGUGUAGCGGUGAAAUGCGUAGAUAUCAGGAGGAACACCGGUGGCGAAGGCGGCUACCUGGACAGAAACUGACGCUGAGGCGCGAAAGCUAGGGGAGCAAACAGG